This 599-nucleotide unclassified non-coding RNA is filed under the name Aspergillus fumigatus. RNAcentral's name for it is "sequence contains 18S rRNA gene, ITS1, 5.8S rRNA gene, ITS2, 28S rRNA gene". The stretch from base 231 to 384 matches the Rfam family "5.8S ribosomal RNA". Lineage: Eukaryota; Fungi; Ascomycota; Eurotiomycetes; Eurotiales; Aspergillaceae. The record is from RNAcentral.
AGUCGUAACAAGGUUUCCGUAGGUGAACCUGCGGAAGGAUCAUUACCGAGUGAGGGCCCUCUGGGUCCAACCUCCCACCCGUGUCUAUCGUACCUUGUUGCUUCGGCGGGCCCGCCGUUUCGACGGCCGCCGGGGAGGCCUUGCGCCCCCGGGCCCGCGCCCGCCGAAGACCCCAACAUGAACGCUGUUCUGAAAGUAUGCAGUCUGAGUUGAUUAUCGUAAUCAGUUAAAACUUUCAACAACGGAUCUCUUGGUUCCGGCAUCGAUGAAGAACGCAGCGAAAUGCGAUAAGUAAUGUGAAUUGCAGAAUUCAGUGAAUCAUCGAGUCUUUGAACGCACAUUGCGCCCCCUGGUAUUCCGGGGGGCAUGCCUGUCCGAGCGUCAUUGCUGCCCUCAAGCACGGCUUGUGUGUUGGGCCCCCGUCCCCCUCUCCCGGGGGACGGGCCCGAAAGGCAGCGGCGGCACCGCGUCCGGUCCUCGAGCGUAUGGGGCUUUGUCACCUGCUCUGUAGGCCCGGCCGGCGCCAGCCGACACCCAACUUUAUUUUUCUAAGGUUGACCUCGGAUCAGGUAGGGAUACCCGCUGAACUUAAGCAUAUC